RNAcentral lists this ribosomal RNA (242 nucleotides) under Cortinariaceae sp. Its description in RNAcentral is "partial large subunit ribosomal RNA". The record is from RNAcentral. Lineage: Eukaryota; Fungi; Basidiomycota; Agaricomycetes; Agaricales; Cortinariaceae.
AAACGCUUGAAGUCAGUCGCGUCUGCCGGGACUCAGCCUUGCUUCUGCUUGGUGUAUUUUCUGGUUGGAUGGGCCAACAUCAAUUUUGACCGUUGGAGAAAGGCUUUGGGAAUGUGGCACCUUUGGGUGUGUUAUAACCUUUGUUCGCAUACAUUAGUUGGGAUUGAGGAACUCAGCACGCCGAAAGGCCGGGUUAUUAACCACGUACGUGCUUAGGAUGCUGGCAUAAUGGCUUUAAUCGA